GAUGAACGCUAGCUACAGGCUUAACACAUGCAAGUCGAGGGGAAACGAUAUUGGAAGCUUGCUUCUGAUAGGCGUCGACCGGCGCACGGGUGAGUAACGCGUAUCCAACCUGCCCAUCACUUGGGGAUAACCUUGCGAAAGUAAGACUAAUACCCAAUGACGUCUCUAGAAGACAUCUGAAAGAGAUUAAAGAUUUAUCGGUGAUGGAUGGGGAUGCGUCUGAUUAGCUUGUUGGCGGGGUAACGGCCCACCAAGGCGACGAUCAGUAGGGGUUCUGAGAGGAAGGUCCCCCACAUUGGAACUGAGACACGGUCCAAACUCCUACGGGAGGCAGCAGUGAGGAAUAUUGGUCAAUGGGCGAGAGCCUGAACCAGCCAAGUAGCGUGCAGGAUGACGGCCCUAUGGGUUGUAAACUGCUUUUAUAAGGGAAUAAAGUGGGAGUCGUGACUCUUUUUGCAUGUACCUUAUGAAUAAGGACCGGCUAAUUCCGUGCCAGCAG
This 499-nucleotide ribosomal RNA is filed under the name uncultured bacterium. RNAcentral describes it as "bacterial SSU rRNA". It matches the Rfam family "Bacterial small subunit ribosomal RNA", at positions 28 to 514 of the family's 1533-position model. The record is from RNAcentral.